Molecule: long non-coding RNA, 1678 nt
Filed under: Takifugu rubripes (torafugu)
Lineage: Eukaryota; Metazoa; Chordata; Actinopteri; Tetraodontiformes; Tetraodontidae
Description: lncRNA (ENSTRUG00000030268.1)
Source: RNAcentral
CCCCAAAUCCCAGUUUGAGUGGCAGGAAAAUGCGGAGCUCAAACGUUCGUGGCUUCCAGCGAAUUCUCGCAUCCGGAAAAUCCCGAGCCGAGAAGAGGGCGAUGGUCCCUGUGUCUCAAUUUGUUUUUACAACUCACCUGAAGACCUGGCCCCCCCGAGACCUGAGCGUCAGGACGUUGCCACUCAAACUUUGCCCCCUGGUGCUUGUGGAGAUGCUCCCACUCCAUCCAAGAUGGAGUCCGUCUGUCAUGAGCAGCACGUGAUGGCUGAAGGGGGCAACAGUGGAGACGAGACAAAGGGAAUGGUGUGGUCUAAGGGCACACCCCAGGCUGAGUUCCCCCAGAUGGGUAGAGGUGUGGACAUCCCAGGGCCAGUGUCGGAGCUCCAGCCCUCCAAGGCUCCCAGAGACUGCCCACAGCCUAAAACUUUGCCCGGACUGUCAGCGCCUCCCCGUGUCAAACCUCCCAGACUACAAAGGUAUUCUAGCCAUCAUUUAAUGUUUGUGAAGAUGCUUUUAAUUCCCUUCCCGGGAAUUCAGAUUAUUUAUGGGGACCAGAGCAGUUGUGACUUCUCCUUUCUGCAGGAGAGGACGCGUCAGCAUGGGGAGAAGAUACCAACAGAGGGAAGCAGACAAGACAAAGGAGCUGGUAAGCAACUGCUGGUUUUGCCUUGUGGACACACCAGUGCUCAGUUUCCACAUUGACCCAGUGCUGCUUUAUAGGACGCAGAGAGGAAGCCGUCACCUCUUCCUGAGAUCGAGGAGGCCAACUUCCCUUCUCUUUCUGCGGUGAAUGUUUCCACAGCAACAGUACCUGCAACUGAGAACAAGGUGGGCUCCAAACUGUCAUAUGCACAGGUCUGUCGGAUGCCACCACGUAAGCGUGCCCCAUCCCCAGACCUUCGCCCACCCUACCCAGACCUUCGCCCACCCUACUCGGACCUUCGCCCACCCUACCCAGACCUUCGCCCACCCUACUCAGACCUUAGCCCACCCUACCCAGACCUUCGCCCACCCUACCCAGACCUUAGCCCACCCUUCUCAGACCUUAGCCCACCCUACUCAGACCUUAGCCCACCCUACCCAGACCUUCGCCCACCCUACCCAGACCUUAGCCCACCCUUCUCAGACCUUAGCCCACCCUACUCAGAACAACAGCCCCAAGCAGCAGAGACUCGCCGUCCAAAAAAGUGGAGAUAUUAAUGGCUGUGAACGGACUUUUGUUUUCUGUCUUUACAAAAGAAGCCAAACAGAAUCUGCACCUCUUCCAUUGCUGCUUUAGGGGACUUUUUUCUUUAGUUUGUUUAGAUUCCAGUGUUUUUCUUUAAACACACCUGCAUAAUUGAUGCUUAUCAUUCUGAUUUCUUCUAUUAAAAAGCACUGAGCAAUAUGUCUCUUUGCAUCUUAUUUAUCUAAUGUUGGUACUGAGUUUGUUAGGCUUUUAUUUGAGUUCAUCAGGAGUGCUUUGGAUGUAGAAACUUCUGUUUGAGUAAAGAGGAUUUGUUGAUGUACCUCAUUCAUGAAUGUGUGCACAAUGUCCAGGUACAGGUGAGUUACUGAUGGAUGCAUAUAUGACUGAACACUACUAAAGUGUAUUUUGCACUUUGUUUUUCUGUUUUUUGUCAUAACAUCUUCCAUCCAGCAGGGAGCAGAAUAUCCAUCAGGUUUAUUGCUUUUUUU